This 569-nucleotide small RNA is filed under the name Pongo abelii (Sumatran orangutan). RNAcentral describes it as "retained intron". Lineage: Eukaryota; Metazoa; Chordata; Mammalia; Primates; Hominidae. The record is from RNAcentral.
AGACAUUCCACUUCUUCCAUCUAUUACAUCUCUGAGUCUAAAUGAAAAUGAAGAGGAGACUGGACCUUUUGUUGUACACUGGCUAAACAAUAAAGAACUGCAUUUUACUUUGUCCAUGGAAGUUUUUUUACAGCAACUUAGAAAAAGUUUUGAACAACCAUCUUCUGAAGCCAGUGUAGAAGAUUCUAAUCAGGCAGAUGUAAAAUCUGAUGAAGAAACGGAUGAUGGUGUUGAUGAUCUGAAAAUAAAUCCCGAAAAGAAGGAAUUAGGCCGUGAUAAAAUGGUACCAAACUCAAGUUUUACGUCAUUAUCGUCAGCUGCCAUUGAUCAUCAGAUUGAAGUACUUCUGUCUGAAUGGAGUAAAAAUGCAGAUAUGCUCUUUAGUAUUCAUCCCAUGGAUGGUUCUUUGCUAGUUUGGCAUGUGGAUUGGCUGGAUGAAUACCAGCCUGGUAUGUUUCGUCAAGUACAGGUACUACUAUUAUUUCUGGAGAGCUACUUCCUUGUUUAUGUGGGUACUGUUUUCUAAUACCUCUUUAUAUAAUUUUAUAUGUUCUAACACUUGCUUUCUU